Long non-coding RNA from Gavialis gangeticus (Gharial), 990 nucleotides. RefSeq lists it as uncharacterized. The record is from RefSeq and is a predicted model, not a curated record. The transcript is spliced from 3 exons. NCBI's taxonomy places the organism in Eukaryota, Metazoa, Chordata, Crocodylia, Gavialidae.
AUUUAAAAAGUUUAUCUUCAGACUGAUUUUGGAACCCUGUAGUAGGGUUGGAGUGUUGUUGCAACCAUGGUGGCCCAGGAAAAAUGCAAGAAGAAAGCGCAUUUGUGAAACCCUGUUCUACUUUGAUUGGCAGAGGCAGAUUCAGACUCUUUAAAAUCUGAAAAGGCCACAGGAACUGAACUCGAAGUGGGGAGCCAAUGACUUUUAGCAGCUAUGGACAGAUAUAGUCCAGUCUACACAGGACCUGGAAAAAGUUCAAGAGAUGACCUCUUCAAAGAAUUCUUGUGAGCAUUCCAAGAGUGGGAAAUAGCCAUGUCCUCAUGGAUGUAGCUCCUGGGUAUUACAGAAAAACAAAGAAGAAUCUGGGAAACCAUGGAAAAGUUCAGUUAUAAUUUAGUUAUUUCCUAGAUUAAGGUCUAUACCACAGCUUGUGUAUGGCCUUCAGCCCACACUCUCUGGGACACCCCUUUCACUGCAAAAGUGCUAUAAAACUGUCCUGUGCCACAGGCCACAGGAUGACAAAGGAAACUGCAAGCCAUGGGAGAUCCCCUUAACUCUCUCAACCAGCAAUGGCUUGACCUUUUUAUUACUAUCCCACAUCCUGUUACUCAGAGAAAAGCUUUGAGCAUCCUGCCUACACAAAUUUUGGAACUUGAGAACACAAACAUGACUGUAUGAUAAUGAAUUACUUUUUAGUUCUUAGUGGAUCUUAAAUGUGCAUGAUAUUAUGUAUGUGUGUUUGAUAAUAUUUGUACUGCUCAUAUUGGUUUAUUCACUGCUAUCUAUGGCAAUGCAUUGACAAUAACUUUAGGCUUACGGGUUAGCAUCUAGGACAAUGCAUUAAAAUACCCACUGCACUCCACUGAGUCAUAAAAUGCUCAUCUUCAACGUACCUCCAAAUGCACAAUGUUAAAACCCUAAAGCUUUGCACCACUACCAUCACACAUUAAUACAUAGAGUAUGUACAAUUAAAAUAUAUGUGUGUGUGUG